GGGGGGACCAUCCUCCAAGGCUAAAUACUCGUAAUCGACCGAUAGUGAACUAGUACCGUGAGGGAAAGGCGAAAAGAACCCCUGUGAGGGGAGUGAAAUAGAUCCUGAAACCGCAUGCAUACAAGCAGUGGGAGCACCUUCGUGGUGUGACUGCGUACCUUUUGUAUAAUGGGUCAGCGACUUAUAUUCAGUAGCGAGGUUAACCGUAUAGGGGAGCCGUAGAGAAAUCGAGUCUUAAUAGGGCGUUUAG
This 250-nucleotide ribosomal RNA is filed under the name Pseudomonas aeruginosa. RNAcentral's name for it is "partial 23S ribosomal RNA". It matches the Rfam family "Bacterial large subunit ribosomal RNA", at positions 446 to 699 of the family's 2925-position model. The record is from RNAcentral. Lineage: Bacteria; Pseudomonadati; Pseudomonadota; Gammaproteobacteria; Pseudomonadales; Pseudomonadaceae.